Molecule: long non-coding RNA, 1452 nt
Filed under: Homo sapiens (human)
Lineage: Eukaryota; Metazoa; Chordata; Mammalia; Primates; Hominidae
Description: long non-coding RNA NONHSAT118054.2
Source: RNAcentral
AUGCCUCCCGUGAAGAGGAGCAUCUAAUCCCAGCAUUUGCACCAGGGAACUCUGCCUGAAGGGAUUACCAGUGACUUGAAAGUGUAACCAACAACAAUCUUGUCACUAUUACGCACCAGCUAAGCAAUCUGAACAUACAUGCUGAAGACACAUUUGGUGAGCUAUUUAAGGAGGCUAACUGCUUCCACAUUAGAUCAAAUUCUCUUAGAAUUUGUUGCCUCAUGGUCAAAGUCACUCAGCUGGAUUCAGCAGUGGAAGAGGUGUCACCACAGGACAUCAACAUGGAAAAAGCCCUCAAAAGUUCCCCAGCCCAAGACCAGCAAGCAGUUUCAAAGAGCAGCAUUCCUACUCCUGCUGCUGACAUUUACAAUCAGAGUGAUUGACCACCUCCCCUGAAUAGCAUGAGAGCACAUGGAGAUGAUAAAGACAGGCUGAAGUUCUAUACUGAUCCUUCCCAUUUAUUUGACCUCUGGAAAGAAGUGCUGCAGGACACAGAAGACAAAAGGAAAGACAGAAGGCAUCAAAAGUAGCAAAACCACAUAGAUGGCACCACUUAUGAUGUGAAAAGGAUUACAAAAGCCAGAAACAAGCACCAUGAGUGGAAUAUGAUGGCAUAUGACAAAGAGCUUAGACCCAGCAACAGGUUGUCUCAGUGUGUACCAUGGAGCAUCCUGCAAGAACCCCUGUCCCUAGACAGCAGGUCCCAUACAAUGGAUGUUAGGGAUGCUCUUAUGGAGCUACUCCAAACCAUUCUCACGACCCUUCCUAGGCAGCUGAAGAUGCAUCUCCACAUGGGCCCACAAACCAGGCCCCUGAGCUUGAGUGCCACCCCUCCUCUGCCUCAGUGAGGCACAUGGCCCUAAAUGGACCUCAAGAGCGGCCCCCACUUCCCUGCCUUACCCCAGCUGUGUUCCAAUCCUGUGCACUUAUGGCUCCAGGAGACUACAGGAUGCUCCCAGCACAGGUGCUUGCAUAUUACAACCCGUCAAGACCUCCUUCUCUUCCCCCUUUUACAGUACAAACUGCCUUUGUUGCCUUCUGCAAAUCCUCCUGCCGCCUCCUUCCUCAUAUCAGCUGGCUCCACACACCCUCCUCCUCACCCUCCCUCCACUGGCCCCUGGGUCCAGCAUUCCCUCCUCCAGCCACACACUUUCCCCACCAGGCCUCUUGGCUCAGUUCUUCUUUUUUGUCUUCCCCGUGCAUUCGCCCCCACACUACCACCAGUAGCUGAGGCAAAGCGUCAAGAACCUGCACAGCCACCAAAAAGUGAUACGAGAAGUGAUCUCCUUGCUGCUACUGGAAUGAGGAUUUGACGGGAAAAGGUGCAGGAUCUGUGUGAGCAAGAGGCCAAGAGUGAGCCCCUUGGGAAGGACAAGGUCACAACCCUGUCAAUACAUUGCAGUGGAGAAGUACAGGGAUUCUGAGGGAGACUUAGAGUUUGACAAAAACAAC